RNAcentral lists this ribosomal RNA (460 nucleotides) under uncultured bacterium. RNAcentral describes it as "partial 16S ribosomal RNA". It matches the Rfam family "Bacterial small subunit ribosomal RNA", at positions 338 to 795 of the family's 1533-position model. The record is from RNAcentral.
CCUACGGGAGGCAGCAGUGAGGAAUAUUGGUCAAUGGACGAGAGUCUGAACCAGCCAAGCCGCGUGAGGGAUGAAGGCCCUACGGGUUGUAAACUUCUUUUGUAUGGGAAUAAAAUGUUCCACGUGUGGGAUUUUGUGUGUACCCUAUGAAUAAGCAUCGGCUAACUCCGUGCCAGCAGCCGCGGUAAUACGGAGGAUCCGAGCGUUAUCCGGAUUUAUUGGGUUUAAAGGGAGCGUAGGUGGAUUGUUAAGUCAGUGGUGAAAUGUCGGGGCUCAACCGCAGGAGGGCAGUUGAAACUGGCAGGCUGGAGUGCAGGAGAGGUGGGCGGAAUGCGUGGUGUAGCGGUGAAAUGCUUAGAUAUCACGAAGAACUCCGAUUGCGAAGGCAGCUUACUGGCCCGCAACUGACACUGAGGCUCGAAAGCGUGGGUAUCAAACAGGAUUAGAUACCCUUGUAGUC